GCCUGGCGUGGUGGCACACACCUGUGAUCCUAGCUACAUGGGAGGCUGAAGCAGGAGGAUCACUCAAACCCAGGAGGUCAAGGCUGCAGUGAGCCAUGUUUGCACCACUCCACUCCAACCUAGUCAACAGUGAGACCCUGUCUCAAAAAAAAAAAAAAAUUGGUCCUAGCGUGGUGGUGUGGGCCUAUAGCAAGGAGAUCACUUGAGCCCAGGAGUUCAAGGCUGCAGUGAGCUAUGAUCACAGCACUGCACUCCAGCCUGGGUGACAGAGUGAGACCCUGUCUCU
This 286-nucleotide small RNA is filed under the name Pongo abelii (Sumatran orangutan). The record is from RNAcentral. Lineage: Eukaryota; Metazoa; Chordata; Mammalia; Primates; Hominidae.